CAAUAGCGUAUAUUAAAGUUGUUGCGGUUAAAAAGCUCGUAGUUGGAUUUCUGUCGGUGAAUAUCAGUCCGCCCACAGCGGUAGGUACGUGAUAUUUCACCGGCAUCUUCCUGGGGAAUGUGUCUGCUCUUUAUUGAGUGGUACAUAAGCCAGGACUUUUACUUUGAAAAAAUACAGAGUGUUUAAAGCAGGCCAAGAUUGCUCUUGCAUGGAUUAGCAUGGGAUAAUGAAAUAGGACUUUGGUGCUAUUUUGUUGGUUUCGAACACCGAAGUAAUGAUUAAUAGGGAUAGUCAGGGGCACUCGUAUUCCGUCGAGAGAGGUGAAAUUCUCAGACCAAUGGAAGACGAACUACUGCGAAAGCAUUUGCCAGGGAUGUUUUCACUGAUCAAGAACGAAAGUUAGGGGAUCGAAGACGAUUAGAUACCAU
RNAcentral lists this ribosomal RNA (428 nucleotides) under uncultured eukaryote. RNAcentral describes it as "bacterial SSU rRNA". It matches the Rfam family "Eukaryotic small subunit ribosomal RNA", at positions 592 to 1018 of the family's 1831-position model. The record is from RNAcentral.